RNAcentral lists this ribosomal RNA (693 nucleotides) under uncultured Dongia sp. RNAcentral describes it as "bacterial SSU rRNA". It matches the Rfam family "Bacterial small subunit ribosomal RNA", at positions 8 to 737 of the family's 1533-position model. The record is from RNAcentral. Lineage: Bacteria; Pseudomonadati; Pseudomonadota; Alphaproteobacteria; Rhodospirillales; Dongiaceae.
AGAGUUUGAUCAUGGCUCAGAACGAACGCUGGCGGCAUGCCUAACACAUGCAAGUCGAACGGGAUCCUGGCUUCGGCCAGGUGAGAGUGGCGGACGGGUGAGUAACGCGUGGGAACCUGCCCAGUGGUGGGGGAUAACUGCGGGAAACUGCAGCUAAUACCGCAUGAGCCCGAGAGGGGAAAGAUUUAUCGCCAUUGGAGGGGCCCGCGUUCGAUUAGGUAGUUGGUGGGGUAAUGGCCUACCAAGCCGACGAUCGAUAGCUGGUCUGAGAGGAUGAUCAGCCACACUGGGACUGAGAUACGGCCCAGACUCCUACGGGAGGCAGCAGUGGGGAAUUUUGGACAAUGGGGGCAACCCUGAUCCAGCAAUGCCGCGUGAGUGAUGAAGGCCUUCGGGUUGUAAAGCUCUUUUGCCAGGGACGAUGAUGACGGUACCUGGAGAAUAAGCCCCGGCUAACUUCGUGCCAGCAGCCGCGGUAAUACGAAGGGGGCAAGCGUUGUUCGGAAUUACUGGGCGCAAAGGGCGCGUAGGCGGCUUGCCAAGUCAGGCGUGAAAUUUCCGGGCUCAACCUGGGGGCUGCGCUUGAUACUGGUGAGCUUGAAUGCGGGAGAGGAUAGUGGAAUUCCCAGUGUAGAGGUGAAAUUCGUAGAUAUUGGGAAGAACACCGGUGGCGAAGGCGGCUAUCUGGCCCGU